UACCCGGUUCAGGAGGUCAAACAGAUGCAUCCUGAUUACCCCUAGAAAGGAAUUCAAAAAAUGCAUAGGCUAGCAGAAUUUACACACGCUAAGUUGUUUGUUACCGGGUAUAAAAAGCCUGCUCUGCGCUUGUAAGGUGUGCUUCUCCCUCUGGCAUAGGUCGAGGGGAGCACCCGCUCAGCUGACUGACAAAUAAAGAUUUUGGUAUCC
Gopherus flavomarginatus (Mexican gopher tortoise) is the source of this 210-nucleotide long non-coding RNA. RefSeq lists it as uncharacterized. The record is from RefSeq and is a predicted model, not a curated record. The transcript has 2 exons. Lineage: Eukaryota; Metazoa; Chordata; Testudines; Testudinidae.